This 456-nucleotide ribosomal RNA is filed under the name Triticum aestivum (bread wheat). RNAcentral's name for it is "partial small subunit ribosomal RNA". Lineage: Eukaryota; Viridiplantae; Streptophyta; Magnoliopsida; Poales; Poaceae. The record is from RNAcentral.
AUGGAGGCCAUCACCGAGCUCAGGGCCCAGCUCCACGCCCACCUCUCCUCCAUGUACGCCACGGGUGCCGUGGACGCCUAUUUCCAGCAGCUGCAGGAGCUGGACGAGGGCAGUGCAGGCACGGGCUACGUCGCCGAAGUCCUCAACAUCUUCCUCAAUGACGGCGACAGGAUCCUCAGGGACAUCGACGGCCUGCUGAACAAGCCCCUGCACGAGGUGGAAUUCUCUAAGGUGGACGCCCUGGUGCAGCAGCUCAAGGGGAGCAGCUCCACUGUUGGUGCUAAGAAAGUGAAUCUCGCUUGCAUGGACUUCCAAAAGUUCUACGUGGCAAAAAACAAGAAAGGAUGCCUCAUGGCAUUGGCUCUUCUUAAGGGUGAUUUCUGUGACGUGCGCAGCAAGCUCCAGACUUUGAUGCAGCUGGAGCAGCAGAUCGCGUCCUUGGUUAGUAUGUGGUAG